Molecule: ribosomal RNA, 252 nt
Filed under: uncultured bacterium
Lineage: Bacteria
Description: partial 16S ribosomal RNA
Rfam family: Bacterial small subunit ribosomal RNA
Source: RNAcentral
UACGGAGGACGCGAGCGUUAUCCGGAUUUAUUGGGUUUAAAGGGUGCGUAGGCGGGCUUUUAAGUCAGCGGUAAAAAUUCGGGGCUCAACCCCGUCCGGCCGUUGAAACUGGGGGUCUUGAGUGGGCGAGAAGAAGGCGGAAUGCGUGGUGUAGCGGUGAAAUGCAUAGAUAUCACGCAGAACCCCGAUUGCGAAGGCAGCCUUCCGGCGCCCUACUGACGCUGAGGCACGAAAGUGCGGGGAUCGAACAGG